This 74-nucleotide transfer RNA is filed under the name Rhodoferax sp. RNAcentral describes it as "tRNA-Gly". It matches the Rfam family "tRNA". From Rfam's summary of the family: Transfer RNA (tRNA) molecules are approximately 80 nucleotides in length. RNAcentral also lists the same sequence under 4 other names. The record is from RNAcentral. Lineage: Bacteria; Pseudomonadati; Pseudomonadota; Betaproteobacteria; Burkholderiales; Comamonadaceae.
GCGGGCGUAGCUCAAUGGCAGAGCUGUUGCUUCCCAAGCAACUGACGAGAGUUCGAUUCUCUUCGCCCGCUCCA